UGGUGGAGUGAUUUGUCUGCUUAAUUGCGAUAACGAACGAGACCUUAACCUGCUAAAUAGCCCGGCUAGCUUCGGCUGGUCGCUGGCUUCUUAGAGGGACUAUCGGCUCAAGCCGAUGGAAGUUUGAGGCAAUAACA
RNAcentral lists this ribosomal RNA (137 nucleotides) under uncultured eukaryote. RNAcentral's name for it is "partial 18S ribosomal RNA". It matches the Rfam family "Eukaryotic small subunit ribosomal RNA", at positions 1299 to 1458 of the family's 1831-position model. The record is from RNAcentral.